Molecule: ribosomal RNA, 305 nt
Filed under: uncultured bacterium
Lineage: Bacteria
Description: bacterial SSU rRNA
Rfam family: Bacterial small subunit ribosomal RNA
Source: RNAcentral
UCCUACGGGACGCAGCAGUGAGGAAUAUUGGUCAAUGGGCGGAAGCCUGAACCAGCCAAGUCGCGUGAGGGAAGAAGGCCCUGCGGGUCGCAGACCUCUUUGGACGGGGAGCAAGGCCGCCGACGUGUCGGCGGAAGGAGAGUACCCGUAGAACAAGCAUCGGCUAACUACGUGCCAGCAGCCGCGGUAAUACGUAGGGGGCGAGCGUUAUCCGGAUUCAUUGGGCGUAAAGCGCGCGUAGGCGGCCGCCUAAGCGGGACCUCUAACCCCGGGGCUCAACCCCGGGCCGGGUCCCGGACUGGGCG